GGUUAAGCGACUAAGCGUACACGGUGGAUGCCCUGGCAGUCAGAGGCGAUGAAGGACGUGCUAAUCUGCGAAAAGCGCCGGCGAGGUGAUAUGAACCCUUGACCCGGCGAUGUCCGAAUGGGGAAACCCAGUGCAAUCCGUUGCACUAUCGUUAACUGAAUACAUAGGUUAACGAGGCGAACCGGGGGAACUGAAACAUCUAAGUACCCCGAGGAAAAGAAAUCAACCGAGAUUCCCCCAGUAGCGGCGAGCGAACGGGGAGCAGCCCGGAGUCUGAAUCAGCUUGUGUGUUAGUGGAACGGUCUGGAAAGUCCGACGGUACAGGGUGAUAGUCCCGUACACGAAAGCACACAUGCUGUGAACUCGAAGAGUAGGGCGGGACACGUGGUAUCCUGUCUGAAUAUGGGGGGACCAUCCUCCAAGGCUAAAUACUCCUGACUGACCGAUAGUGAACCAGUACCGUGAGGGAAAGGCGAAAAGAACCCCGGCGAGGGGAGUGAAAAAGAACCUGAAACCGUGUACGUACAAGCAGUGGGAGCCUCUUUAUGGGGUGACUGCGUACCUUUUGUAUAAUGGGUCAGCGACUUAUAUUCUGUAGCAAGGUUAACCGUAUAGGGGAGCCGAAGGGAAACCGAGUCUUAACUGGGCGUUAAGUUGCAGGGUAUAGACCCGAAACCCGGUGAUCUAGCCAUGGGCAGGUUGAAGGUUGGGUAACACUAACUGGAGGACCGAACCGACUAAUGUUGAAAAAUUAGCGGAUGACCUGUGGCUGGGGGUGAAAGGCCAAUCAAACCGGGAGAUAGCUGGUUCUCCCCGAAAGCUAUUUAGGUAGCGCCUCGUGAACUCAUCUUCGGGGGUAGAGCACUGUUUCGGCUAGGGGGCCAUCCCGGCUUACCAACCCGAUGCAAACUACGAAUACCGAAGAAUGUUAUCACGGGAGACACACGGCGGGUGCUAACGUCCGUCGUGAAGAGGGAAACAACCCAGACCGCCAGCUAAGGUCCCAAAGUCAUGGUUAAGUGGGAAACGAUGUGGGAAGGCACAGACAGCCAGGAUGUUGGCUUAGAAGCAGCCAUCAUUUAAAGAAAGCGUAAUAGCUCACUGGUCGAGUCGGCCUGCGCGGAAGAUGUAACGGGGCUAAACCAUGCACCGAAGCUGCGGCAGCGACACUAUGUGUUGUUGGGUAGGGGAGCGUUCUGUAAGCCGUUGAAGGUGGCCUGUGAGGGUUGCUGGAGGUAUCAGAAGUGCGAAUGCUGACAUAAGUAACGAUAAAGCGGGUGAAAAGCCCGCUCGCCGGAAGACCAAGGGUUCCUGUCCAACGUUAAUCGGGGCAGGGUGAGUCGACCCCUAAGGCGAGGCCGAAAGGCGUAGUCGAUGGGAAACAGGUUAAUAUUCCUGUACUUGGUGUUACUGCGAAGGGGGGACGGAGAAGGCUAUGUCAGCCGGGCGACGGUUGUCCCGGUUUAAGCAUGUAGGCGGAGGUUCCAGGUAAAUCCGGUACCUUAUUAACGCUGAGGUGUGAUGACGAGGCACUACGGUGCUGAAGUGAUAAAUGCCCUGCUUCCAGGAAAAGCCUCUAAGCAUCAGGUAACACGAAAUCGUACCCCAAACCGACACAGGUGGUCAGGUAGAGAAUACCAAGGCGCUUGAGAGAACUCGGGUGAAGGAACUAGGCAAAAUGGUGCCGUAACUUCGGGAGAAGGCACGCUGAUGUGUAGGUGAAGCCCCUGCGGGCGGAGCUGAAAUCAGUCGAAGAUACCAGCUGGCUGCAACUGUUUAUUAAAAACACAGCACUGUGCAAACACGAAAGUGGACGUAUACGGUGUGACGCCUGCCCGGUGCCGGAAGGUUAAUUGAUGGGGUUAGCGGCAACGCGAAGCUCUUGAUCGAAGCCCCGGUAAACGGCGGCCGUAACUAUAACGGUCCUAAGGUAGCGAAAUUCCUUGUCGGGUAAGUUCCGACCUGCACGAAUGGCGUAAUGAUGGCCAGGCUGUCUCCACCCGAGACUCAGUGAAAUUGAACUCGCUGUGAAGAUGCAGUGUACCCGCGGCAAGACGGAAAGACCCCGUGAACCUUUACUAUAGCUUGACACUGAACACUGGUCCUUGAUGUGUAGGAUAGGUGGGAGGCUUUGAAGCGUGGACGCCAGUCUGCGUGGAGCCAACCUUGAAAUACCACCCUUUAAUGGCUGGUGUUCUAACGUAGACCCGUAAUCCGGGUUGCGGACAGUGUCUGGUGGGUAGUUUGACUGGGGCGGUCUCCUCCCAAAGAGUAACGGAGGAGCACGAAGGUUGGCUAAUCCUGGUCGGACAUCAGGAGGUUAGUGCAAUGGCAUAAGCCAGCUUGACUGCGAGCGUGACGGCGCGAGCAGGUGCGAAAGCAGGUCAUAGUGAUCCGGUGGUUCUGAAUGGAAGGGCCAUCGCUCAACGGAUAAAAGGUACUCCGGGGAUAACAGGCUGAUACCGCCCAAGAGUUCAUAUCGACGGCGGUGUUUGGCACCUCGAUGUCGGCUCAUCACAUCCUGGGGCUGAAGUAGGUCCCAAGGGUAUGGCUGUUCGCCAUUUAAAGUGGUACGCGAGCUGGGUUUAGAACGUCGUGAGACAGUUCGGUCCCUAUCUGCCGUGGGCGCUGGAGAAUUGAGGGGGGCUGCUCCUAGUACGAGAGGACCGGAGUGGACGCAUCACUGGUGUUCGGGUUGUCAUGCCAAUGGCACUGCCCGGUAGCUAAAUGCGGAAGAGAUAAGUGCUGAAAGCAUCUAAGCACGAAACUUGCCCCGAGAUGAGUUCUCCCUGAGACCUUGAGUCUCCUGAAGGAACGUUGAAGACGACGACGUUGAUAGGUCGGGUGUGUAAGCGCAGCGAUGCGUUGAGCUAACCGAUACUAAUGAACCGUGAGGCUUAACCUU
RNAcentral lists this ribosomal RNA (2905 nucleotides) under Enterobacter cloacae. RNAcentral's name for it is "23S ribosomal RNA". It matches the Rfam family "Bacterial large subunit ribosomal RNA". The record is from RNAcentral. Lineage: Bacteria; Pseudomonadati; Pseudomonadota; Gammaproteobacteria; Enterobacterales; Enterobacteriaceae. RNAcentral also lists the same sequence under 1 other name.